UGAAUUGACGGGGACCCGCACAAGUAGUGGAGCAUGUGGUUUAAUUCGAAGAUACGCGCAGAACCUUACCAACACUUGACAUGUUCGUCGCGACUCUAAGAGAUUAGAGUUUUCGGUUCGGCCGGACGAAACACAGGUGCUGCAUGGCUGUCGUCAGCUCGUGUCGUGAGAUGUUGGGUUAAGUCCCGCAACGAGCGCAACCCUUACUUUUAGUUGCCAUCAUUUAGUUGGGCACUCUGAAAGAACUGCCAGUGAUAAGCUGGAGGAAGGUGGGGAUGACGUCAAGUCCUCAUGGCCCUUAUGUGUUGGGCUACACACGUGCUACAAUGGUAUCUACAACAGGAAGCAAAACAGCGAUGUUAAGCAAAUCCCGAAAAGAUACCUCAGUUCGGAUUGCACUCUGCAACUCGAGUGCAUGAAGCUGGAAUUACUAGUAAUCGUGGAUCAGCGUGCCACGGUGAAUACGUUCCCGGGUCUUGUACACACCGCCCGUCACACCAUGGGAGUUGGUUCUACCUUAAGGCAAAGCUUAAAACCUUUGACCACGGUAUAGUCAGCGACUGGGGUGAAGUCGUAACAAGGUAGCCG
This 588-nucleotide ribosomal RNA is filed under the name uncultured bacterium. RNAcentral's name for it is "bacterial SSU rRNA". It matches the Rfam family "Bacterial small subunit ribosomal RNA", at positions 906 to 1502 of the family's 1533-position model. The record is from RNAcentral.